AUUGAACGCUGGCGGCAUGCUUUACACAUGCAAGUCGAACGGCAGCGCGGGGCCACCUGGCGGCGCGUGGCGGACGGGUGAGUACUACCUCGGAACGUACCCAGAAGUGGGGGAUAACGUAGCGAAAGUUACGCUAAUACCGCAUACGUUCUACGCAAGUAAGAGUGGGACCUUCGGGCCUCAUGCUUUUGGAGCGGCAGUUGUCUGAUUAGCUAGUUGCUGAGGUAAAGGCUCCCCAAGGCGACGAUCAGUGGCUGGUCUGAGAGGACGACCAGCCACACUGGGACUGAGACACGGCCCAGACUCCUACGGGAGGCAGCAGUGGGGAAUUUUGGACAAGGGGCGCAAGCCUGAUCCAGCAAGGCCGCGUGAGUGAAGAAGGCCUUCGGGUUGUAAAGCUCUUUUGUCAGGGAAGAAACGGCUGAGGAUAAUACCUUCGGCUAAUGACGGUACCUGAAGAAUAAGCACCGGCUAACUACGUG
Molecule: ribosomal RNA, 482 nt
Filed under: uncultured bacterium
Lineage: Bacteria
Description: partial 16S ribosomal RNA
Rfam family: Bacterial small subunit ribosomal RNA
Source: RNAcentral